Molecule: long non-coding RNA, 499 nt
Organism: Schistocerca cancellata (South American locust)
Lineage: Eukaryota; Metazoa; Arthropoda; Insecta; Orthoptera; Acrididae
Exons: 2
Source: RefSeq, a predicted model, not a curated record
ACAGCUUCCGCAGCCCUCGCUGCCGGCCGCCCCCGCCACACCUCACCUCAUACCCCGAGAGAAGGAGCGCCAGCCACGCCCACGCCCCGGGGCAGCGCCGAGUGCAUCUCCAGCCGCUAUAAAUGUGCUGCCCGACUGCCGAGGGGCAUCAGUCGAAUCGAAGCGGCACUAUGAAGACCCUCGUGUUCCUGUUUGUGGUGCUGGCCGUGGUCUGCGCGGCUCUGGCUGUGCCCGGCCCUCUGCCCCUACCACGUCCUGGCCCAGUGCCGAUCCCUGCUGCGCCCAGGGAGACCCUGCGUGGCAGCGAGCAGGUCUACUACGGUGUUUACUACCCGUAUGUCGUCUGAUGACCUGACACUGUACUCCAGCAUCCUCCAGUGACGGCACUACCGACCUGGCACCGACAAGGACAUCCCCUCUAAAGCUCCUGGCCAAAAUGUGUUUUCUGUAUACUUUGUCUGCACUCCUACUUGUCAAUAAACAUUAUUCUAUCUACUGA